Molecule: transfer RNA, 74 nt
Filed under: Candidatus Pacearchaeota archaeon
Lineage: Archaea; Nanobdellati
Description: tRNA-Thr
Rfam family: tRNA
About the family: Transfer RNA (tRNA) molecules are approximately 80 nucleotides in length. Their secondary structure includes four short double-helical elements and three loops (D, anti-codon, and T loops).
Source: RNAcentral
GCCCAUAUAGCUCAGUUGGUUAGAGCGCUUGUUUCGUAAACAAGAGGCCGGGAGUUCAAGUCUCUCUAUGGGCU